RNAcentral lists this transfer RNA (64 nucleotides) under Cavia porcellus (domestic guinea pig). It matches the Rfam family "tRNA", at positions 1 to 62 of the family's 71-position model. From Rfam's summary of the family: Transfer RNA (tRNA) molecules are approximately 80 nucleotides in length. The record is from Rfam by way of RNAcentral. Lineage: Eukaryota; Metazoa; Chordata; Mammalia; Rodentia; Caviidae.
GGGGAUUUAGCUCAGCGGCAUAAGCGCCUGCCUUGCAAGCAGGCAGUCGUAAGUUCGAUCCCCA